RNAcentral lists this long non-coding RNA (2721 nucleotides) under Linum usitatissimum (flax). Its description in RNAcentral is "long non-coding RNA (LUSI_LNC003776)". Lineage: Eukaryota; Viridiplantae; Streptophyta; Magnoliopsida; Malpighiales; Linaceae. The record is from RNAcentral.
AGAAAGCAUCGUUUUGACUGAUCUUCUUUUAGAAGUGAUUUUUUUAAAAGCCACUUGUGAUUGUGUACAAUGGCCAAAUUUUCGAGUAAUUUUGCCCUCAUCAAGUUGCUUUACCCUUGCAAAAAGAUGAUAAUCCUUUAAUUGUCUUUGGUUUCGCUUCUCCUCAGGCUUGAUCCAAAACGAAAAAGACUAUGGUGGGAUUUUGAUUUGUUCAUUCUGAGAUCUAUCAUGUCCCUAAGCUGGAGUCCUGGAGGGGAACAUUGGAAUGGCUAACACAGUUACAAACACACAUUGUGAACAUGUGUGUUGAGGUGGUCAUAUUAGUCACUCCAUGGAAAAAACACCAGUCAUGAUGGUAAGCUCUGCUGAUUUGAAUGUCCCAUCAUAUACAUUUCCAGCUCGUAUUUGGAAUAAGAUGCUUGUUGAUAUGAAUAUUGUCUAGCUGACUUAUGCCUUAUCAAUUGCUGAAUCAGUUGUCUAGUUUGCCCUUGUGCUCCACCUUGAAUACCUCAAAUCAUGAGUGAGGGCUAUGUUGGUUAUCUACUAAUCGGAAUCUCGUGCCCUGAUCUAUAGAUUGUUCCAAUUGCCCUUCUACUCCACCUUGAAUACCUCAAAUCAUGAGGGCUAUUUAAGUAAUCUGCUAAUCGGAAUCUCGUGGCCUGAUCGAUCCAUCAGGUUUCAAGAACUUGGCAGACUGAUUGUAUACAGUUGGUUGAUGUCACUAAGUUGCCUCUUAGGAAUUUGUUAGAUCUAUCAAAUUCAAAAUUGUCAUCUAACAUGUUUCUGGGACACGAUCGAUCCUUUUGAUCGGAUGAUUUAGCGAUUGACUUCAAAGACAUUCGUUAGCGAUUUACUUUCGGUUUCACGGUUUGCUUCUACCUCUAAUAUUCAGAACUCAUAUAUAGUCGUUCCAGUUGCCCUUGUGCUCCAAGUGGAAACCAUUAAUCAAUCAUGAUAGUUAUGUUGGUAAGCUGCUGAUCUGGAUUUCAUCUGAUGCCUGUUGAUAUGAAUAUAGUCAGUCGGGCACUAUGUUGGAAACUUUGAUCGGUUGGAAAUUCAUCGAUUUUGAUCGGUUGAUAUGUUGGAAAUUCAUCAAUGUGGAUCGGUUGAUUGAUAAUAAGUUUGGAAUUUUAUUAAUUAGUUUCGGCUUGACUGAUCUUUUUGGUUGAAGUCCAUCAGUUUCUGUCCAAAGACAGUAUAAAUAAUGUGUAUUUGUAGUUAUUGAGUGAUUAAGGUAAAAUGUAUAAACUUAAGGACUAAAGUUUGUUUCUAGUAAAAUUUAAGGAGCGAAUAUAAUUAAGUACAUAAUUCCUUCAGUAUUCAUUCUGGAGUGUGCCAUGUACCGCACACCCCACAUAGAGAUGUUUAGUAUUCCUUCUGGAGUGUGUCAUGUACCGCACACCGCACAUAGAAGGGUGCACCAAUAUACCGGGUGUAUCGAAAAGAGCACCCUUUUUAAUCCUUAUCUUAUAUAUUGUAUCCAACUACAUUACGAUUAAUUUUGUCACUCCAAACUGUUCAUUAAACUAUUUUAUUUCAAUAUUUCUAUUAAUCGAAUCGAAUCAAGAUCGACUAGUGAUAAAUCACCAAUCCUCUAAAACCAAAAAAAUAGUUCCCCUUAUGUUUUUUCGAUCUUACUCUCGCGGAUUAUGUAGCCUUGGCCAAAACAUCCUAUGUCUACCUCCGCCUAUCUCGACCUUCGGAGAAGGAAGUUACUCCUCCGGAGCCUACUUCCUAAAAUCCCUAAUCUUCCUUUCCAUCUUUCGUCUAUCAGGCCUGAUGAUUCUCCAUUGCAUUGUCGCUUUCCUUCGUCCCUUGGACUUGCCAUGAAGCAACAUUUUCUCUCAAAUUAACUCUGACACCAAGAAGGCAUUCACCCCACUAUAGGUGAGAACUUCAUUCUCACAGUCAAUUGUCUCACAUUGCGGUCAGUCCCUCAAUAUCUUAGUCCUUCGAUGUGUUCGUUCGCAGUUUGAAGAUAGUUUUGACGAUUACAGUCUCUAUAAGCGAGUAAGUAUCUGUUUUGUUGACUACAUAGUUUUAAUUGAUGCAAAAGUAUUAAUUGCAUGCUGGUUUUUUUAUCAAUGGAGGUUUAGAUUUUGUAAUACGCUGUCAAAUUGUGUUGCUCUUAUUUUGUGAACUGCUUCUUGGUACCGACUCUUCAGCUUGUUACAUCCAAAUACCCAAAUUUAGCUGAAACUUUUUAAACUUUAACAAAUCUAGUAUGAAUUAUUUUAAAACCAGAAUCUACGUCCUCCAUCCCAUUCUCCGUCUAUGUCGUUAGUUAGUUUUGACGGUAGUGAACGUGUUGUGUGCGGUUUGAAAGGUGUCCAGUCAGAAAAUAUGACCCAUGUGGACAAUCCAGUCAUUAAGUAAUUGCCACAUGGACUGACAAGUUAAAAAACAAGAAGAUAAGAAAGAUGUGGUUAAACAUUGGUUUCCUUAUCCCAUACUGCAAACUCGAUCGUUACUUUACAUUCCUCUUCUCUCACUCAAACUUCAAACCGACUUCCCAUAGCUCGAUUCAUUACGAUUUCCGUUGUAACACCAAGGUUGUAUCUGGUGACGCAAUUACAACCAACAUCUCUUGUAAUUUAGGGUUUUUAAGGAUGAGUGUUUGUUGUUUAUGUCCAUUAUUCUUUUGCAUUGUGGAGAAAGAGGAGUCAUGUUUUUUGUUGGCAUUGAGGAUUCUGUAGAAAGAGGGUUUCUAGCGGCGUUGUU